UGCGCAGGCUGGCCUGUCAGUCAGUGGUGAAAUCUCGGGGCUCAACCCCGAAACUGCCAUUGAUACUGCAAGUCUUGAAUACGGUUGAAGUAGGCGGAAUGUAGCAUGUAGCGGUGAAAUGCAUAGAGAUGCUACAGAACACCGAUCGCGAAGGCAGCUUACUAAGCCGAUAUUGACGCUGAGGCACGAAAGCGUGGGGAGCGAACAGGAUUAGAUACCCUGGUAGUCC
Molecule: ribosomal RNA, 229 nt
Filed under: uncultured bacterium
Lineage: Bacteria
Description: partial 16S ribosomal RNA
Rfam family: Bacterial small subunit ribosomal RNA
Source: RNAcentral